GAUGAACGCUAGCGGCAGGCCUAACACAUGCAAGUCGAGGGAGAAGCCCUUUCGGGGGCAGAAACCGGCGCACGGGUGCGUAACGCGUAUGCAACCUACCUUUCACAGGGGGAUAGCCCGAAGAAGUUUGGAUUAAUACCCCAUAAUAUUAUUGGAUGGCAUCAUUUGAUAAUUAAAACUGCGGUGGUGAAAGAUGGGCAUGCGUCCUAUUAGCUAGUUGGAGUGGUAACGGCACCCCAAGGCUACGAUAGGUAGGGGUCCUGAGAGGGAGAUCCCCCACACUGGUACUGAGACAGGGACCAGACUCCUACGGGAGGCAGCAGUGAGGAAUAUUGGUCAAUGGUCGGAAGACUGAACCAGCCAUGCCGCGUGCAGGAAGAAUGCCUUAUGGGUUGUAAACUGCUUUUAUAAGGGAAGAAUAAGGCGUACGUGUACGUUGAUGACGGUACCAUAUGAAUAAGCAUCGGCUAACUCCGUG
Molecule: ribosomal RNA, 478 nt
Filed under: uncultured bacterium
Lineage: Bacteria
Description: partial 16S ribosomal RNA
Rfam family: Bacterial small subunit ribosomal RNA
Source: RNAcentral